GAUGAACGCUGGCGGCGUGCCUAACACAUGCAAGUCGAACGGAGUCGUUUUGGAAAUCUCUUCGGAGAUGGAAUUCUCGACUUAGUGGCGGACGGGUGAGUAACGCGUGAGCAAUCUGCCUUUAAGAGGGGGAUAACAGUCGGAAACGGCUGCUAAUACCGCAUAAAGCAUUAAAUUCGCAUGUUUUUGAUGCCAAAGGAGCAAUCCGCUUUUAGAUGAGCUCGCGUCUGAUUAGCCAGUUGGCGGGGUAACGGCCCACCAAGGCGACGAUCAGUAGCCGGACUGAGAGGUUGAACGGCCACAUUGGGACUGAGACACGGCCCAGACUCCUACGGGAGGCAGCAGUGGGGAAUAUUGCGCAAUGGGGGAAACCCUGACGCAGCAACGCCGCGUGAUUGAAGAAGGCCUUCGGGUUGUAAAGAUCUUUAAUCAGGGACGAAACAAAUGACGGUACCUGAAGAAUAAGCUCCGGCUAACUACGUG
This 483-nucleotide ribosomal RNA is filed under the name uncultured bacterium. RNAcentral's name for it is "partial 16S ribosomal RNA". It matches the Rfam family "Bacterial small subunit ribosomal RNA", at positions 28 to 507 of the family's 1533-position model. The record is from RNAcentral.